UACAGAGGGUGCGAGCGUUAAUCGGAAUUACUGGGCGUAAAGCGCACGUAGGUGGCGACGUAAGUCGGGUGUGAAAGCCCCGGGCUCAACCUGGGAAUUGCAUUCGAGACUGCAUUGCUGGAGUACGGAAGAGGAAGGCGGAAUUCCCGGUGUAGCGGUGAAAUGCGUAGAUAUCGGGAGGAACAUCAGUGGCGAAGGCGACUACCUGGCCUGUUUCUUGACGCUGAGGCGCGAAAGCUAGGGGAGCAAACGGG
This 254-nucleotide ribosomal RNA is filed under the name uncultured bacterium. Its description in RNAcentral is "partial 16S ribosomal RNA". It matches the Rfam family "Bacterial small subunit ribosomal RNA", at positions 524 to 776 of the family's 1533-position model. The record is from RNAcentral.